Long non-coding RNA from Myotis brandtii (Brandt's bat), 942 nucleotides. RefSeq lists it as uncharacterized. The record is from RefSeq and is a predicted model, not a curated record. The transcript is spliced from 2 exons. Lineage: Eukaryota; Metazoa; Chordata; Mammalia; Chiroptera; Vespertilionidae.
ACCCAAACCUGCCUUGCCAGGCUAACAGCAACCUCUGGCCCUGAAGCCCAUGGCCCCCCAGCCCCCAAACUCCAGCAGGCCCCUUCUGCUGUGCCUCAGGACUCCCCGCCCCUGCCCGCCCUUCCGUCUGUCUGCCUCACUUCCUGACUGGUGAGUUUCAAACCCACAGCCUGGGUCAGCACUACCUCCUGCACCUCCCACUCCCUCUAGUGUUGGCCCAUCAGCUCUGCCAGCCAGCCUCUGCUAAGAUUCCUCUGUCAGGUGGAUGGAGAAACCUUAAUAAGCAUCCAAGCAUCCUAGGGCCUCCUGUGGGAGGUGGCUAAUUAAGAUGGGUGUUGGUGCUGGGAGAAUGUGGCAAGCCAGGUCCCAGGUGCAAUCCUAAACUCUUGGUGACCUACAGAUUUGUGUUCAGUCUCAAGCUUGCAGGAAUCCAUACACACUUGGCCUGUCACUCUUAGAGCCCUGCAUUCCAGUUUAUAGUUGUAAUCACCACCCACUCUACACAUCUAAAGAGCUUACAUCCUUACCUCUUGCAAUGUAACCCUUCCUCAGCCAGGUACCCCACUGCAACCACCUCCUGGUUAAAAGGGUCAAGGGGUCAAGCAGUUAUGGGGAGAAUAGGUUAUGGAGAAGGACAGUAACCUAUAACCAGGCAAAACCACCGUGCUCCAUGUUCAAUUAUUUCCUUAAUAAUUAACUUGUCUAUAACACAAUAGUUAACAACACACCUUCCUAUAUAUCAUCUUCAUGACAGGCCCAAGGGGUAGGAUUAUUAUUCAGCAAAGAAAACUGAAGCUCAGAGAGGCCAAUAGAAAGUGAAACAAAAUGAUGGCUCUAGGUCCUCUAAUUCUGAUACCCUUUCACCACACCAAUUGGUUGGCUGCUUGCCAACCAGUCCCCCUUAACCCUAGUGCCAUUGUCUUGCUCUUGAUUUAGGAUCAG